Molecule: small nucleolar RNA, 85 nt
Organism: Pungitius pungitius (ninespine stickleback)
Lineage: Eukaryota; Metazoa; Chordata; Actinopteri; Perciformes; Gasterosteidae
Product: small nucleolar RNA SNORD74
Exons: 1
Source: RefSeq, a predicted model, not a curated record
CCCGUGACUGUAUGAUGAGAACAUGUUGGUAGGGACAUCUGAUAUAAUGUGAUGAAUGCCAACUUUCUUCUCCUGACUUCAUGGG